This 462-nucleotide ribosomal RNA is filed under the name Vicia anatolica. Its description in RNAcentral is "eukaryotic LSU rRNA". The stretch from base 293 to 462 matches the Rfam family "Eukaryotic large subunit ribosomal RNA", at positions 1 to 170 of the family's 3401-position model. Lineage: Eukaryota; Viridiplantae; Streptophyta; Magnoliopsida; Fabales; Fabaceae. The record is from RNAcentral.
CCGGUAACAUCCGAGUCUUUGAACGCAAGUUGCGCCCGAUGCCAUUAGGUUGAGGGCACGUCUGCCUGGGUGUCACAUAUCGAAGCCUCCUGCCAAUUUCCUUUUGACAGGUAUUGUGCGGGGUGAAUGUUGGCCUCCCGUGAGCUCUUUCGUCUCAUGGUUGGUUGAAAAUUGAGACCUUGGUAGGGUGUGCCAUGUUAGAUGGUGGUUGUGUGACCCACGAGACCAAUCAUGCGCUACUCUAUUGAAUUUGGCCUCUUUUACCCAUAUGCGUUUCUAAACGCUCGUGAUGAGACCUCAGGUCAGGCGGGGCUACCCGCUGAAUUUAAGCAUAUCAAUAAGCGGAGGAAAAGAAACUAACAAGGAUUCCCUUAGUAACGGCGAGCGAACCGGGAUAAGCCCACCAUGAGAAUCGGUCGCCCUCGGCGUUCGAAUUGUAGUUGAAAAAAACCGUAAAAAACU